RNAcentral lists this long non-coding RNA (17833 nucleotides) under Vitis vinifera (wine grape). Its description in RNAcentral is "long non-coding RNA (VVIN_LNC001026)". The record is from RNAcentral. Lineage: Eukaryota; Viridiplantae; Streptophyta; Magnoliopsida; Vitales; Vitaceae.
GCUAAUCUUCAAUAACACCAUGGGGCGAGUUCCAAAACCAUUCAUUAUUGUCCUCCUAACACUCAUUGUGUGUUCCUAUUCACAAGCUCAUCGAAAUCUUCGAGAAUCACCUGGAGGUCCUGACCCAAUACAUCAUGGAAUUGAGGAUCCAAUGAAUAGUGAAGCUUAUGGAAUCUAUCGAGAAUCUUCCGGAGAUGCAGACUCAAUACAUCAGAAAAUAAAGGAUCAUAUGGGAGCGAAAGCCUUUAAAAUAUAUCGAGAAACACCUACAGGUCCAAAUCCAAUACAUGACUAGAAUGACGAAUCAGCUUAGGAUCUAAGGAAAAGACACCAAGAAGAAUCGAUCAUUUACAUUACUCCUUGCAUAUUUGUCUAUUCUUAGAUCAAAUAAAUAAAUAAAUAAACUGUUUAUGUGAUUCUCUAAAAAUCUUAUUUAGAGUAGUCAUUGAAGUGGUAUGCAUGGAAAAUAUGUGUUCUUGAUAAUAUGGGCUAUCAAUUUCGAAGCAAAAAUAUAAAUUCUAAGGAAAAUAUACAUAAAUGAUGUUAUUAUUAAAAUAAAUUAGUCGAUGAUAGUGUCGGAAGGCUCUCCAUUCAAAUAUCUGUUCAUAUCUCUCUUGCACCCGACAUAAUUGAUUCUUGAAAAUCACUUUGAAUGUUUUCCUUAUGGUGAGGUGAUUCAAUUUGAUCCAUUAUGUGUAGAUAUUUUACUGGGCUAAGAAUUAUCAAAGUUAUAAAUUUAGUAUGGAACUCGAAUUCUAUAUGUGCAAUUGAGCUAUACUAAGAAUUAAUCCUAUUCAAGUUUAUAUAUAAACCUACGCAAGACUCUAUAUAUCUUUCAAUAAUGUUUAGUCCAUGGCAAUUGAACUUGAUAAUUACUAUUUCAGUAAUGAAUUCUACAUCUUAUCGGACAAGUUUGCUUCUAAUCGAACUAGGUUCGUUUCUAAGUACACCUACUAACUUUUCAUAAAUUAUAUUCAAUAUCUUAAUCAAACAUGACCAAUCCCGGAUGAGGCAAUUGAACACUGCCAUAAUUGUGUGUCUUUUCAAAAUAAAAUAGGUUUUUUUUCUUCCGAAAUGAAUAAUAGAAAAAUCAAGCAUUGAUGUUGAUUACCAUUUGGAAACAAGGAAUUACAAAAAAUUAAAAUCAUUUAAUAAGUCUAAUCAAUACCUAUGCAAAAAAGAAAAAACAAGCCCUAACGCCACUACUUCAAAGGAGCAUGCUUUUUUCGUGUGAUAAUCAUAAUUUUUAUAUCACUUCUUUGUUCAUUUAUAAUAUACAUGAUUUAAUUGUUUUUUUGCUUUACAAUUUUAUUAGAUAUUUAAGGGUGCCAUUAAUGCAACAUUAGAGGGUUUUAAAAUUAUCCAUUAUUUUUUAAAGUUACAUAUCAUAACUGAUAUCAUUUAAUUAAUAUGGUAUUUGGAUUGUUAUAUAAGAUAUUAAUUUUAAUAUUUGAUGCAUAUGGUAUUUAAGGAUUGAAAAAUUCAUCUUUCAAAUUUCAACAUGUAUGACUUCCAUUCCCAGACAAAUGAAUUACCAAAUGGUAGAAGGAAAUGAGUUCUUUAUAUUUACAUUAGGAAAAAUUAACACAUUUCUAUUACAUUAUUUUAUCGACCAAACAUGACCUAAUUUUAACAAACAUUUAAAUGAAAUUCACCAUGAUUCAAAUUUCGAGAUAUAAAUUAGUAAAAUAUUGUAUUUUUCCUUUGACUUUCUUAUAGAUUUCAAAUUUUAUAGAAAUAAUUCAUCAUGAUUAUCAAGUAAUUAGUAUUCAAGGAGGAACAAAUGAAAAAAAAAAAAAAGAAGGACAUCUUGCUAAAGGGGACUUUCCUAAUUGUAUUUUGUUCUAGUGUGAGAGGUAAAAUAAUUGCCUAGUUUAAAACUUAUGGCAAAAAAUGGAAUUUUAUAUUUUUUUUUAUUGUAAGCAUCACAUUUUUAUUGUUAUCUUCAAUUGUUAUGUAAUUAAGCGGCGUAUCGUGAUUGCACCAACAAAAGGAAAAAAAUUCCCCGCAAAUAUCUUCCUUGAAAUUCUUUUCUUAUCAUAUCAAAUGGUAUUAAUAGAAAAGUAUCUCUUACAUUUUGAAUAAUAAAUACAAGAUUUUCUCCCAAAUUAUCUCUCAUAUGUGGGAACAUUAAACCAUAUAGAAGCCCAAAUCCAGAUGGAUUACUUACGAUUCUUUGGGAUUUAAAAUUUAAGUACAAGAAAAUAGUAGAAGAACAAAGAUAUCCUCUACUUGAAUUCUUAGAUCUAAUUCUUAAUGUUUCGCAUCUAAUUCUCAAAUCUAAAAAUCUAAACUUAUAUUCUCAAUAAAAAUCCCUUUAGUAUCAUUUAAAUUUGGCUUAUAAAUAGAGAAACUUGUUACCAUUCCACUCAAAUCAAAAUUUAGCUAAUCUUCAAUAACACCAUGGGGCGAGUUUCAAAACCAUUCAUUAUUGUCCUCCUAACACUCAUUGUGUGUUCCUAUUCACAAGCUCAUCGAAAUCUUCGAGAAUCACCUGGAGGUCCUGACCCAAUACAUCAUGGAAUUGAGGAUCCAAUGAAUAGUGAAGCUUAUGGAAUCUAUCGAGAAUCUUCCGGAGAUGCAGACUCAAUACAUCAGAAAAUAAAGGAUCAUAUGGGAGCGAACGCCUUUAAAAUAUAUCGAGAAACACCUACAGGUCCAAAUCCAAUACAUGACUAGAAUGACGAAUCAGCUUAGGAUCUAAGGAAAAGACACUAAGAAGAACCGAUCAUUUACAUUACUCCUUGAAUAUUUGUCUAUUCUUAGAUCAAAUAAAUAAAUAAAUAAACUAUUUAUGUGAUUCUCUAAAAAUCUUAUUUAGAGUAGUCAUUGAAGUGGUAUGCAUGGAAAAUAUGCGUUCUUGAUAAUAUGGGCUAUCAAUUUCGAAGUAAAAAUAUAAAUUCUAAGGAAAAUAUACAUAAAUGAUGUUAUUAUUAAAAUAAAUUAGUCGAUGACAGUGUCGGAAGGCUCUCCAUUCAAAUAUCUGUUCAUAUCUCUCUUGCACCCGACAUAAUUAAUUCUUGAAAAUCACUUUGAAUGUUUUCCUUAUGGUGAGGUGAUUCAAUUUGAUCCAUUAUGUGUAGAUAUUUUACUGGGUUAAGAAUUAUCAAAGUUAUAAAUUUAGUAUGGAACUCGAAUUCUAUAUGUGCAAUUGAGCUAUACUAAGAAUUAAUCCUAUUAGAGUUUAUAUAUAAACCUACGCAAGACUCUAUAUAUAUUUCAAUAAUGUUUAGUCUAUUGCAAUUGAACUUGAUAAUUACUAUUUCAGUAAUAAAUUCUACAUCUUAUUGGACAAGUUUGCCUCUAAUCGAACUAAGUUCAUUUCUAAGUACAUCUACUAAAUUUUCAUGAAUUAUAUUCAAUAUCUUAAUCAAACAUGACCAAUCCCGGGUGAGGCAAUUGAACACUAUGUCAUAAUUGUGUGUCUUUUCAAAAUAAAAUAGGUUUUUUUUUCUUCGGAAAUGAAUAAUAGAAAAAUCAAACAUUGAUGUUGAUUACCAUUUGGAAACACGGAAUUACAAAAAAUUAAAAUCAUUUAAUAAGUCUAAUAAAUACCCGUGCAAAAAAGAAAAAACAAGCCCUAACGCCAGUAUUUCAAAGGAGCAUGCUUUUUUCGUGUGACAGUCAUAAUUUCUAUAUCACUUCUUUGUUCAUUUAUAAUAUAAAUGAUUUAAUUGUUUUUUUGCUUUACAAUUUUAUUAGAUAUUUAAGGGUGUUAUUAAUGCAACAUUAGAGGGUUUUAAAAUUAUCCAUUAUUUUUUAAAGUUACAUAUCAUAGCUGAUAUCAUUUAAUUAAUAUGGUAUUUGGAUUGUUAUAUAAGAUAUUAAUUUUAAUAUUUGAUGCAUAUGGUAUUUAAGGAUUGAAAAUUUCAUCUUUCAAAUUUCAACAUGUAUGACCUCCAUUCCCAGACAAAUGAAUUACCAAAUGGUAGAAGGAAAUGAGUUCUUUAUAUUUACAUUAGGAAAAAUUAACACAUUUCUAUUACCUUAUUUUAUCAACCAAACAUGACCUAAUUUUAACAAACAUUUAAAUGAAAUUCACCAUGAUUCAAAUUUCGAGAUAUAAAUUAAUAAAAUAUUGUAUUUUUCCUUUGACUUUCUUAUAGAUAUCGAAAUUUAUAGAAAUAAUUCAUCAUGAUUAUCAAGUAAUUAGUAUUCAAGGAGGAACAAAUGAAGAAAAAAAAAAAAGGACAUCUUGCUAAAGGGGACUUUCCUAAUUGUAUUUUGUUCUAGUGUGAGAGGUAAAAUAAUUGCCUAGUUUAAAACUUAUGGUAAAAAAUGGAAUUUUAUAUUUUUUUUAUUGUAAGCAUCACAUUUUUAUUGUUAUCUUCAAUUGUUAUGUAAUUAAGCUGCAUAUCAUGAUUGCAACAAGAAAAGGAAAAACAAUCCCCGUAACUAUCUCCCCUAAAAUUCUUUUCUUAUCAUAUCAUAUGGUAUUAAUAGAAAAGUAUCUCUUACAUUUUGGAUAAUAAAUAAAAGAUUUUCUCCCAAAUUAUCUCUCAUAUGUGGGAACAUUACACUAUAUAGAAGCCCAAAUCCAGAUGGAUUACUUACGAUUCUUUGGGAUUUAAAAUUUAAGUACAAGAAAAUAGUAGAAGAACAAAGAUAUCCUCUACUUGAAUUCUUAGAUCUGAUUCUUAAUAUUUCACAUCUAAUUCUCAAAUCUAAAAAUCUAAACUUAUAUUCUCAAUAAUAAUCCCUUAGUGUCAUUUAAAUUUUACUUAUAAAUAGAGAAACUUUUUACCAUUCCACUCAAAUCCUAAUUUAGCUACUCUUCAAUAAUACCACGGGGCAAGUUCUGAAACCAUUCAUUAUUGUCCUCCUAGCACUCAUUGUGUGUUCCUAUUCACAAGCUCAUCGAAAUCUUCGAGAAUCUCCUGGAGGUCCUGACCCAAUACAUCAUGGAAUUGAGGAUCCAAUGAAUAAUGAAGCUUAUGGAAUCUAUCGAGAAUCUUCCGGAGAUGUAGACUCAAUACAUCAGAAAAUAAAGGAUCAUAUGGGAGCGAACGACUUUAAAAUAUAUCGAGAAACACCUACAGGUCCAAAUCCAAUACAUGACUAGAAUGAUGAAUCAGUUUAGGGUCUAAGGAAAAGACAUCAAGAAGAACCGAUCAUUUACAUUACUUCUUGCAUAUUUGUCUAAUCUUAGAUCAAAUAAAUAAAUAAAUAAAUAAAUAAAUAAAUAAAUAAACUAUUUAUGUGAUUCUCUAGAAAUCUUAUUUAGAGUAGUCAUUGAAGUGGUAUGCAUGGCAAAUAUGCGUUCUUGAUUAUAUGGGCCAUCAAUUUCGAAGUAAAAAUAUAAAUUCUAAGGAAAAUAUACAUAAAUGAUGUUAUUAUUAAAAUAAAUUAGUUGAUGAUAGUGUCAGAAGGCUCUCCAUUCAAAGAUCUGUUCAUAUCUCUCUUGCAUAUGACAUAAUUGAUUCUUGAAAAUCACUUUGAAUGUUUUCCUUGUGGUGAGGUGAUUCAAUUUGAUCCAUUAUGUGUAGAUAUUUAACUGGGUUAAGAAUCAUCAAAGUUGUAAAUUUAGUAUGGAACUCGAAUUCUAUAUGUGCAAUUAAGCUAUACUAAGAAUUAAUCCUAUUCAAGUUUAUAUAUAAACCUACGCAAGACUCUAUAUAUAUUUAAAUAAUGUUUAGUCCAUUGCAAGAUCUAUUUUCUUUCUUUUCAUCUAGGUCUUGAUAAUUACUAUUUCAGUAAUGAAUUCUACAUCUUAUCGAACAAGUUUGCUUCAAAUCAAACUAGGUUCAUUUCUAAGUACAUCUACUAAAUUUUCAUAAAUUAUAUUCAAUAUGUGAAUCAAACAUGACCAAUCCCAGAUUAGGCAAUUGAACACUAUGCCAUAAUUGUGUCUUUUCAAAAUAAAAUAAUUUUUUUUCUUCAUAAAUGAAUAAUAGAAAAAUCAAACAUUGAUGUUGAUUACCAUUUGGAAACACAGAAUUACAAAAAAUUAAAAUCAUUUCAUAAGUCUAAUCAAUACUUGUGCAAAAAAGAAAAGGCAAGCCCUAACGCCACUACUUCAAAGGAGCAUGCUUUUUUCGUGUGAUAAUCAUAAUUUCUAUAUCACUUCUUUGUUCAUUUAUAAUAUAAAUGAUUUAAUUUUUUUUUUGCUUUACAAUUUUAUUAGAUAUUUAAGGGUGCCAUUAAUGCAACAUUAGAGGGUUUUAAAAUUAUCCAUUAUUUUUUAAAAUUACAUAUAAUAAUUGAUAUCAUUUAAUUAAUAUGGUAUUUGGAUUUUAAUAUAAGAUAUUAAUUUUUAUAUUUGAUGCAUAUGGUAUUGAAGGAUUGAAAAAUUCAUCUUUCAAAUUUCAACAUGUAUGGCUUCCAUUCCCAGACAAAUGAAUUACCAAAUGGUAGAAAGAAAUGAGUCCUUUAGAUUUACAUUAGGAAAAAUUAACACAUUUCUAUUACCUUAUUUUAUCGACCUAACAUUACCUAAUUUUAACAAACAUUUAAAUAAAAUUCACCAUGAUUCAAAUUUCGAGAUAUAAAUUAGUAAAAUAUUGUAUUUUUACUUUGACUUUCUUAUAGAUAUCGAAAUUUAUAUAAAUAUUUCAUCAUGAUUAUCAAGUAAUUAGUAUUCAAGGAGGAACAAAAAAAAAAAAAAAAAGGACGUCUUGCUAAAGGGGACUUUCUGAAUUGUAUUUUGUUCUAGUGUGAGAGGUAAAAUAAUUGCCUAGUUUAAAAAUUAUGGUAAAAAAUGGAAUUUUAUAUUUUUUUUUGUCGUAAGCAUCACAUUUUUAUUGUUAUCUUCAAUUGUUAUGUAAUUAAGCUGCAUAUCAUGAUUGAAGCAAGAAAAGGAAAAACAAUCCCCGUAAAUAUCUUCCCUAAAAUUCUUUUCUUAGCAUGUCAUAUGGUAUCAAUAGAAAAGUAUCUCUUACAUUUUGGAUAAUAAAUAAAAGAUUUUCUCCCAAAUUAUCUCUCAUAUGUGGGAACAUUACACUAUAUAGAAGCCCAAAUCCAAAUGGAUUACUUACGAUUCCUUGGGAUUUAAAAUUUAAGUACAAGAAAAUAGUAGAAGAACAAAGAUAUCCUCUACUUGAAUUCUUAGAUCUAAUUCUUAAUGUUUCGCAUAUAAUUCUCAAAUCUAAAAAUCUAAACUUAUAUUCUCAAUAAAAAUCCCUGAGUGUCAUUUAAAUUUGAUUUAUAAAUAGAGAAACUUGUUACCGUUCCACCAAUGAAUCUCAACUCCUCACAAUCAACACAGCUUCACAAGCUCCUCUCAAACUUACCUCCUCCAACCAUCUCUCAUGGAAAAUCCAAUUUGAAACACUCUUCAUUAGCUAUGAUCUUCUUAGAUACAUUGAUGGAUCCAAACCUGUCCACCCAAAACUCUAACCACAAACAAUGUUGACACACUAAAUCCUGCCUACACCCUCUGGAUCCACCAAGAUCAACUGGUUUUGAAUGCUCUCAUUGGCUCUCUCUCACCCACAAUCAUCUCAUUCAUUGCUCGUGCCAAUACCUCCCGCGAAGCAUGGACUAUUCUAGCAAAUACCUAUGCCAAACCAUCUCGUGGUCGCAUCAAACAAGUCAAAAAUCUUCUCAAAAAUCCCAGCAAAGGCACUAUGACAGUAACUGAUUUUCUCCACUUUGUCAGAGCACGCACAGAUGAACUAGCCAUCCUAGGCGCCCCAAUAGAGGAAGAAGAUCUUACAGAGAAGAUUUUGGAUGUACUAGGUGAUGAGUACAAAGAACCUGUCCGUGCUGUUCAAGCCCGUGACACUUCUAUAUCAUUUGAUGAACUUCAUGAGAAACUCUUAUCCUUUGAAGCCUCUCUCUUAGCCAACACCAAAUCUGAGGUAAAUCUUCCUAUUACUGCUAAUCCCACAAAUAAGAACAAUCCCAUGAACACCAACUGGCGGCCACACAAGACCAACACCAACUAGCUUCCCAACCACUCAAACUCUUCAGGUAACACAGGCUGGCGUCCACCUACAACCUUCCCUACCCAUCCUCUUAUGGCCACCCACUUAGGAACUCCAUCUUGCACCAACCGCUUUCCACCCCGUCCAUACCAGGGGUUAUGCCAAAUCUGUGGCAUUCAAGGUCACACUGCCAAGAGAUGUCCAUCUUUCCAACUUGUACCAGUCCAAUCUUCCAUUACAAGUGCUACACCACCAGCUAACUUUGUCACACCUUGGCAGCCACGGGCUCACUAUGCUGCAAAUACCACCACUAAUAAUCCAUCAUGGCUGCUGGACAGUGGCGCCUCUCAUCAUGUCACUACCGACUUAAACAACCUGUUUCUUCAUGCACCAUACACUGGAUAAGAUGAUGUUAUGAUUGGUGAUGGUAUAGGUUUACUCAUCUCUCACACUGGUUCUACUUCUCUUCCAUCAUCAACCACCACCUUUACCUUGAAUGAUGUUUUCUAUGUACCAUCCAUGAAAAAGAACUUAAUUUCUAUCUCUCAAUUUUUCAUCUCUAAUAAUGUUUCUAUUGAAUUUUUACCCUUUUGUUUUCAUGUGAAAGAUCUUUGUACGGGGGCAAUACUCUUGACGGGCAACACUAAGGAUGGAGUGUAUGAGUAGCCAGCUGCACAACUUGCCUCUUCUCCAAUUCUGGCCUUCUCUCAUGUCAAAACCACAUCAUCAAAUUGGCAUCAUUGCUUAGGUCAUCCAGCUUUUCCCAUUUUAAAACACAUUAUGUCUAGUUAUCAGUUAGAUUUUUCUACACCUUUACCAAAAGAAUUCUCUUGUAAUGCUUGUCUUAGCAAUAAAAGUCGUAAGCUUCCUUUCUCUAUUUCAUCUCUUCACUCAACAAAUCCUCUUGAAAUAAUUUUUUCUGAUGUAUGGACUUCUCCCAUUUUAUCACAAGAUGGUUUCAAAUAUUAUGUUAUUUUUGUUGAUCACUUCACAAAAUACAUUUGGUUCUACCCCCUCAAAAAAAAAUCUGAAGUUCAGAAAGUUUUCAAACGGUACAAGGCCAUUGUGGAAAAUUAUUUUUCUAAAAAAAUUAUCACUCUCUACUCUAAUAAUGGAGGCGAAUAUAUGGUCCUCAAAGAUUAUCUCUCCCUCCACUGCAUUUCCCACUUCACCACUCCACCACAUACCCUUGAACACAAUGGCUACUUGAUUACUACUCAAAACAUGCUAUUUUGUAGCUUGUAAUUAUCUCUUUUAAACACCAUUGAGUAGUAAUUAUUACCUUUUAACCCAAUUAGCAUGUUAGGAGCCCUUGCAAUCGUUUCUAACAAUUGUGUUAAGUUUUGGUGCUUUUUGAUAGCUUUAUGCUCACCAAAGCAAUUUAAGAAUGAGGGAGAGCUAUUUAUAGUUCAGGGCAAAGCUUUUGAAAGCUUAAAUUUAUGAAGAAAUCAAGCUAUGGAGCCUCAUAAUCCUUUGCCUUAGUGGUUCAAAGUAUACAAGGAAGAAACAAUGGAGAAGAAGAAAACAGGGGAUGAAAACAGGGGACACAGCUGCAGUCUUUCAUUGCACUUUUGGAGCACUUCCCGAAGUCCAAUUUUUACGUUCUACAUACCAUUUCGAAGCUCAGAAAGUCAAGAAUCCAAUGGUUUAAACCACGUAUGAUUUGGAGCUGAAAUGAGGAAGAUAUGGACUUCGGAAGACAACUGCAUCAAGCUGAAGGACAAUUUCGCACACCACUGUUUAAGGUGCGAAAUCCUCAGUCCACUGUGCGAAAUUUUCGUACACCUCAAACCAACAUGCAAAAUUGGAACUCAGCGUGCGAAAAUUGGAUAUUUUUGCCGACACUUCUUCUUCUGAUAUUUUUGUGUUUAAAUUUCCAUUUUCUCCUUGUAUUCAACCAACCAUGUAAUUCCUUAGCUAGGAAGUAUCCAAGGAAGGGUAAAACUACCUUCCUAUAUAAAUUCUCUUGUAAUCACUGAAAACAAGAUCUUUCGGGGAGCUUUCUCUAGAAUAUCUUUUCGGGGAGCUUUCUCCAGGAGACCAAUGUAAAUUAGUUACUUAGUGAAAUACAGAGAUCUCUUUUGCUUUCUUUUUCUCUCUUCUAUUUUCUCAUUUUCUUAGUAGCCAAACAUCCUUGGAGGAUGAAAUCCCCAAGGAUGAGAGGCUAAAACCUUUUAGUUUCUUGAAGUAAUGGAUGCCAUGUGAAGCUCCCGUGUCAGGAUGGAGAUUUUCAAGCCAUGAAUGUAAGUAGCUAAGCACCAUAAAUGUUUUCAUUCAAAGUAAAGCUUUUAAUCCCUCUGACUUGCUUUGAAUGGCCAAUACUUGAUAAGCUUUUGGUCUCAGUGGAUUCUUAUUGUUAGAUCCACUGACGUUCGUUAGUUAUCUCCUACGAGCCAUUGUAUUGCAAGUCGAGGAGAUGACCUAUAUCAUUAAAAGGGCAUUUAUGAGGUUCAGCUACCCUUUUUGUAAGUUUUCAAGGACUAAAACUCAGUUGUUAAACUCAUACCGGUUCGGGAAGUAAGCAUCACCUUAGUUGCUUCCCCAACGCGAGGUGAAAAGUCCCAAAAUCUCUAUUUUUACAUGGUGAGUUAAGCAUGGCUAUCCAAAGCUUUGAGAAACUUCUUUUUCCAUCUUUUAUCCUAUUUUCAUCUUAGUUUAGUUUACAACACCUUCAUCUUUUUAUGUUUUCAUCUUAACCUAAUUUUUAUUAAGAAAAGUUCACUCCAUCCUCUGAACUUCACUAGUUAAAGUAAAAACCCUUCCCAGUGUUCGAUCCUAGAGCCACUAUACUAUAGUAGCUUUGCUACUUUAGUGUAAGGACCUUAGGUAUAAAUUUUGUUGAUACCCUUACAUGCCAAGCUACCAAGAGUCGGGUUAUCACUACUCUGAAAGAACACAUUGCCAUAUCGUUGAAACUGGUCUCAUCUUACUAUCUCAUGCUUCACUUCCAAACACCUUCUGGCCUCAUGCCUUUGCUACUGUUGUUUACCUCAUUAACAGGCUUCCAACCACCACUCUCAAUCUGUCCUCCCCCUUUGAAUUAUUUUUUCACAAAAGUCCCAAUUACUCUAGACUAAAAGUUUUCGGUUGUUUAUGUUAUACUUGGCUUCACCCAUAUACCUCUCACAAACUUACUCAACGCUCCAAACCAUGUGUGUUUCUUGGGCACUCUUUAUCUCAGAGUGCUUAUCUCUGCUUCGACCCCUCCACCUUGAAAAUUUAUGUUUCUCGCCAUGUGCAAUUUGUUGAAUCAGUCUUUCCAUACACCUCACUACACACCACUCUUCCACGUCCCAAUUCCACUACUAUAUCUACUUGGAUUCAUCCUGUCCUUUCUGUCUCUACUCCCACAUCAUCCCAGCAGGAAGCCAUCACUCCAUCUACAGCUAGCUCUCAAGGACUGCCUCUGUUCGAGACUACUUCACCAUCAGCUGCCCCGUCCUCACAGCAAGCUUCCUCUGCCCCCUAACCAUCUCCUCAACCUUCCCUUACAACCAUCGAACCACAAAUCCCAGUCCCACCUCCGACUCAACACCGCAUGACUACCCGAGCCAAGAAUAACAUCACCAAACCAAUUCAGAAACUCAACCUUCACAACCACAAACCAACGUUCCAAAACACUACUCCUACAUCUAUCUCCCAAGCUCUUAAAGAUCACAAUUGACGUUAAGCUGUGUUCGAAGAGUAUGAUGCACUUGUUCGUAAUGGAACUUGGGAACUAGUUCCACCUGAAGACAUUACUAAUCUAGUUGGUUGCAAAUGGAUUUUCCAUAUUAAAAGAAACUUUGAUGGUUCCAUUGACAGGUACAAAGCUCGCCUUGCAGCCAAGGGCUUUCAUCAAAGACCGGGUGUGGACUACCAUGAAACUUUCAGUCCAGUUGUCAAGCCUGCCACAGUGACACUUGUGCUUAGUAUAGGAGUAAGUAAUGGUUGGUCACUUCGCCAAUUGGAUGUCAAUAAUGCGUUUUUUCAAGGCAAGCUCUCUGAAAAUGUAUUUAUGGCUCAACCACCAGGUUUUGUUGACUCUAAUCAUCCCUCAUAUGUUUGUUAACUUCAUAAAGCUGUCUAUGGCCUCAAACAAGCUCCCUGAGCUUGGUAUCACGAGUUACGUCAGUUUCUACUCACUUCCAAAUUCAAGAACUCACACUCAGAUACAUCUUUCUUUGUUCUUCACAGCAGCAACCGUGUCUUGUAUCUUCUUGUAUAUGUUGAUGAUAUUAUCCUAACUGGCAGUAGUGAUACUCUUGUUUCACAGUUUCUUGACUAUCGGCUCAACGGUUUUCUCUAAAAGAUCUUGGUCCACUCUCUUACUUUCUUGGAGUUGAAGUUGAAGUUGUUCCUCAUCAUCUUGGUAUUCUGCUCUCCCAAAGAAGAUACAUUCAAGACCUACUCAAACGAACCAAUAUGGCUGAUGCAAAACCUAUUCUCACCCCCUUACCAACUAGCUCAGCAGCCAUCUCCUUAACCUCAAGCACCCCUCUCUCUGACUCCACACCAUACUGUGCAGCAGUUGGUAGCCUGCAAUAUCUUUCCUUAACCCAUCCAGACAUUUCCUUUGCAGUCAAUAGAAUGGCCCAAUUUAUGCAUCAACCUACCUCUGAGCAUUGGGUCCUUGUUAAGCGUAUUUUAUGCUAUUUAUGUGGCACACUAGACAAGGGGCUCCUUCUCUAUCGUGAUUCUCCCAUCACUCUUCAUGCCUUCUCUGAUUCUCUUUAUGCUUUUUCAGAUGCGGACUAGGUUGAUAAUAAAGACGAUUAUUCUUCCACCACUUAUCUUGUUUAUCUUGGUCGGAACCUUGUCUUUUGGAGUUCGAAGAAGCAACAAACUGUUGCUCGCUCAUCCACAGAAGUAGAAUAUCGUUCUGUUGCUACUACUGCUGUUGAACUUCAUUGGGUUGGUUCUCUUCUUUCAGACCUUGGUAUUAGCUUAACUACUUCUCCAGUUGUCUAUUGUGAUAAUGUUGGUGCUACCCAAUUAAGUUCCAAUCCUAUUUUUCACUCUCGCAUGAAACAUGUUGCUAUUGAUUAUCAUUUUAUCAGAGAUCAAGUUCAAACUGGUCUACUUCGAGUUGCUCAUGUCUCUUCUGCUGAUCAGCUUGCCGAUCUUCUUACCAAGCCACUGCCUACUUCUCAAUUUCUGCUAUUAUGGGACAAGAUUGGUGAUUACUACUCAAAAAGUGCUAUUUGAUAGCUUGUAAUUAACUCUUUUAAACACUUUUGAGUAGUAGUUAUUACCUUUUAACUCAAUUGGCAUGUUAAGGACCCUUGCAAUCAAUUCUAAUCAAAUUGUGUUAAGUUUUGGUGUUUUGAUAGCUUUUUGAUCACCAAAGCAAUAUGAGAUUGAGGAGAUUUAUUUGAAAUCCAUGGCAAAGCAAUGGAAAGCUCAGAAACAUGAAGAACCAAAGCUUUGAAGUCCUUUGCCAUAAGCAAAUCCGGAAUGCAAGGAGGGGAAGCAAAGAGAAAUCUGCCAUGAAGCAUUUUUUUAUGACAGUCAUGUCAGCCACUUUUGGAGCACUUCCUGAAGUCCAAUUUAUGCAUGCUAUAUGUUGUUUCAAAGAUCAGGAAGUCAACAAUCCAAUGCUUCAAACGGUGCACGAUUCGGAGUUGAAAUGAAGGAGUUACAGCCAUUGCAAGCAGAUCACUCCAAGCUGAAGGAAGAUUUUUGCACGGCUGUGAAAUCAGCCUUUUGUUGCGAGAAUUUCGCAGCCAUUUUGCACAGUGCACGGGUGUUCUCCUGAAGCUUCCCGAUAGUUGCGACCGACAUUGUGAGAUAUUUUUCUUUAGAUUUUUUGAUAUCUAAAUCUCCAUUUUAUUCUUGUAACCCACCAAUUAUAGGAUUCCUUAGUUAUUAAGUUUGGAAAAGGGGUGAAUAACCUCAGAUAUUUUGUUUUGUAAUUUUCUUUAUAUAUAGCUCUCGGGAGCUUGUUCUCGAGAGGAUCAUGUAAUCCAAUGGGAUAUAGAUAUAUAAAUAUAUAGAAUAUACAGAGCCUUGCUCUGUUUUUUUUCCUUCUCUUUCAUUUUCAUUUUCUUGCUAGCCAAACAUUCUCUGAGGAUUUUUUUUCAGAAGAUGAGAGGCUAGGCUUUUCGUCUCUUGGAGUGAGGAAAGCCGGGUAAGUUUCCACAUGCAUAAAUUGGAAGUUUUGUUGUUUUAGUUUUUAAUGAAGAGAAAGUGUGACCCGUUAAUGGUUUUUAUCUUUUUAGUUAACUUAAAACGCCUUUAAAUCACCUGGGCUAACACUUGGUAAGGCAAGUGAUCUCCGUCCAUGGAGAUUCACUAGUUUAUCUCUUACGAGCUUUUGGGAGGUGACUUGAAGGUAGGAUUUUCUAGAAUAGCCAACACUUGGUAAGCUUUUGGACUCCAAGGAGACAUCCAUUAGUUAUCUUUUGCGAGCUUUUGACGGGUAAUCCAAGGUUAAAGAUCACCUUGAAUGGCAAGUGCUAGGUGAGAGGUAUGAGCCAUUGCAAGGUGCAUCAGUGAGAGGGAUUUAGUGUUUGAACCCAUUAAUGGGAAGCAUUUGUAUCGCACCGGUUAGAGAAUUAACUAUAUGUUAAUUCUCUAAUGCGAGGAAAAGAAACAAGUGACCGGAACUCUCUUUUUUUGUAAGGAAUCUGAGCCUAGUGAUCUAAACUCCAAGAAACACUUUUCUUUGUAAGUAAAAUCAGUUACUAUUUUUGGUUAGUUUAAAACCAAACCUUUUUUUUCAUUCAAAUAUCUUUAUGUUUUCUUUUAAAGCUAACCUUGAAAUGAAAAGGCACCAAUUCAGCUUUGAAUUAAUAUCAUUUGCAAAGUGAAAACCCAUCCCAGUGAACGAUCCUAGAGCCACUAUGCUAUAGUAGCUUUGUCUUUGCUACCCUAGUAUAUGGUGUAAUAGGUUAUAAAUUUUGUUGAUUACUCCCUCAAUCAAGGAGCACCAGCUGGACACGAAUCAGCUGAUACACCAAUUGGGCACGAAUCAAUUGGCCUCUCUACUCGUGGCCUAUCUUGAGGGGGCAUAUAGAAGUAGUCACAAUUUCUGGUGUAUAUCAGCUUUAGUAGUUCCAACUGCAAUAGUAUAUUGAAUGUAGUCUACCAAAUAUCUUUCUGUUAGUAUUCCUUAAGAAUAGUUCAGCUUGAAUAUUGCUGAAAUAUAGGAUAUAGUUAUUGUUUUCUGUUUUGCUUCAAUGUAUUAUUUAUACGAUUUGUUUUUUUUUUAUUAAUGAAAACAGAGUUCACACAAUUAUCAACCUCUUUAAAGCUUAUGGAAUCAAUCGAGAAUCUUCGGGAGGUGCAGAACCAAUACACCAUAAAAUAAAGGGUCAUAUGGGAAUGAACUCUUUUAAAAUAUAUCGAGAAACACCUAUAGGUCCAAAUCCAAUACAUGACUAGAAUGACGAAUCAGUUUAAGGUCUAAGGAAAAGACACCAAGAAGAACCAAUCAUUUACAUUACUCCUUGCAUAUUUGUCUAUUCUUAGAUCAAAUAAAUAAAUAAAUAAACUGUUUAUGUGAUUCUCUAGAAAUCUUAUUUAGAGUAGUCAUUGAAGUGGUAUGCGUGGCAAAUAUGCGUUCUUGAUUAUAUGGGCUAUCAAUUUCGAAGUAAAAAUAUAAAUUCUAAGUAAAAUAUACAUAAAUGAUGUUAUUAUUAAAAUAAAUUAGUCGACGAUAGUGUCGGAAGGCUCUCCAUUCAAAGAUUUCUUUAUAUCUCUCUUGCAUCUGACAUAAUUGAUUCUUGAAAAUCACUUUGAAUGUUUUCCUUAUGGUGAGGUGAUUCAAUUUGAUCCAUUAUGUGUAGAUAUUUUACUGGGUUAAGAAUCAUCAAAGUUAUAAAUUUAGUAUGGAACUCGAAUUCUAUAUGUGCAAUUGAGCUAUACUAAGAAUUAAUCCUAUUCAAGUUUACAUAUAAACCUACGCAAGACUCUAUAUAUAUUUAAAUAAUGUUUAGUCCAUUGCAAGAUCUAUUUUCUUUCUUUUCAUCCAAGUCUUGAUAAUUACUAUUUCAGUAAUGAAUUCUACAUCUUAUCGGACAAGUUUGCUUCUAAUCAAACUAGGUUCAUUUCUAAGUACAUCUACUAAAUUUUCAUGAAUUAUAUUCAAUAUCUUAAUCAAACAUGACCAAUCCCAGAUGAGGCAAUUGAACACUAUGCCAUAAUUGUGUGUCUUUUCAAAAUAAAAUAGUUUUUUUUUUUCUUCAGAAAUGAAUAAUGGAAAAAAAUCAAACAUUGAUGUUGAUUACCAUUUGGAAACACGGAAUUACAAAAAUUUAAAAUCAUUUCAUAAGUCUAUUCAAUACCUGUGCAAAAAAGAAAAAGCAAACCCUAACGCUACUACUUCAAAGGAGCAUGCUUUUUUUGUGUGAUAAUCAUAAUUUCUAUAUCACUUCUUUGUUCAUUUAUAAUAUAAAUGAUUUAAUUGUUUUUUUGCUUUACAAUUUUAUUAGAUAUUUAAGGGUGCCAUUAAUGUAACAUUAGAGGGUUUUAAAAUUAUCCAUUAUUUUUUAAAGUUACAUAUAAUAAUUGAUAUCAUUUAAUUAAUAUGGUAUUUAGAUUGUAAUAUAAGAUUUUAAUUUUAGUAUUUGAUGCAUAUGGUAUUGAAGGAUUGAAAAAACCAUCUUUCAAAUUUCAACAUGUAUGACUUCCAUUCCCAAACAAAUGAAUCACAAAAAGGUAGAAGGAAAUGAGUCCUUUAGAUUUACAUUAGGAAAAAUUAACACAUUUCUAUUACCUUAUUUUAUCAACCAAACAUGACCUAAUUUUAACAAACAUUUAAAUGAAAUUCACCAUGAUUCAAAUUUCGAGAUAUCAAUUAGUAAAAUAUUGUAUUUUUCCUUUGACUUUCUUAUAGAUAUCGAAAUUUAUAGAAAUAAUUCAUCAUGAUUAUCAAGUAAUUAGUAUUCAAGGAGGAACAAAUGAAAAAAAAAAAAAAAAGGAAGAACGUCUUGCUAAAGGGGACUUUCCUAAUGGUAUUUUGUUCUAGUGUGAGAGGUAAAAUAAUUGCCUAGUUUAAAACUUAUGGUAAAAAAUGGAAUUUUAUAUUUUUUUUAUUGUAAGCAUCACAUUUUUAUUGUUAUCUUUAAUUGUUAUGUAAUUAAGCGGCAUAUCACGACUGCAAGAAAAAAAGGAAAAAAAUUGCCCAUAAAUAUCUUCCCUAAAAUUCUUUUCUUAUCAUAUCAUAUGGUAUUAAUAGAAAAGUAUCUCUUACAUUUUGGAUAAUAAAUAAAAGAUUUUCUCCCAAAUUUUCUCUCAUAUGUGGGAACAUUACACUAUAUAGAAGCCCAAAUCCAGAUGGAUUACUUACGAUUCUUUGGGAUUUAAAAUUUAAGUACAAGAAAAUAGUAGAAGAACAAAGAUAUCCUUUAGUUGAAUUCUUAGAUCUAAUUCUUAAUGUUUCGCAUCUAAUUCUCAAAUCUAAAAAUCUAAACUUAUAUUCUCAAUAAAAAUCCCUUUGUGUCAUUUAAAUUUGACUUAUAAAUAGAGAAACUUGUUACCAUUCCACUCAAAUCCAAAUUUAGCUAAUCUUCAAUAAUACCAUGGGGCAAGUUCCAAAACCAUUGAUUAUUUUCCUCCUAACACUCAUUGUGUGUUCCUAUUCACAAGCUCAUCGAAAUCUUCGAGAAUCACCUGGAGGUCCUGACCCAAUACAUCAUGGAAUUGAGGAUCCAAUGAAUAGUGAAGCUUAUGGAAUCUAUCGAGAAUCUUCCGAAGAUGCAAACUCAAUACAUCAGAAAAUAAAGGAUCAUAUGGGAGCGAAUGCCUUUAAAAUAUAUCGAGAAACACCUACAGGUCCAAAUCCAAUACAUGACUAGAAUGACGAAUCAGCUUAGGAUCUAAGGAAAAGACACCAAGAAGAACCGAUCAUUUACAUUAAUCCUUGCAUAUUUGUCUAUUCUUAGAUCAAAUAAAUAAAUAAAUAAACUGUUUAUGUGAUUCUCUAAAAAUCUUAUUUAGAGUAGUCAUUGAAGUGGUAUGCAUGGAAAAUAUGCGUUCUUGAUAAU